UCAACCAAGUACACCAAAAAGCUAUCAUGUACUUCCAAGAAAAACUAUUAUAUUGGUUAGUCGGGUAAGACUUGCUGAGUACCCCGUACUCAGGGUUAUCCCUUGUGGCUAUCUUUUCAGAAGCACCGCAGGAGUCCACUGAGGAGGAAGCCCCGAAACCCUAGGGUAUUGUUAUGAGUCUCACAAUACCCUUAGAAGAAGUUUUAUAAUGCUCAUCUCCACCCGAACCGUUUAUGUUUUAAGUCCUAGAACUCUGUCUAACACUGCACUGUUAAGUUUGCUUCAAACUAUGUAAAAAUGUAAUAUUUGUUGAUGCUAUCCCAUCGUGGAUAUAAUCCUGAUGUAUGGCUAUGAGACACGAUGUGGAUCUUUCGAGGAGUCCUAGGGACACUCGACGGACGACCGGACUUAUACUGUUUUAAGUGCGUUUCGGAUAAUUGCUGCGUCGGCAGCAAUUAGGUGCAUUUAAACCAGUUUAAGUUGGACGGUUCCGCCACAGCUGGUUUCAGAGCCGUAGGUUGGGAUAAUCAACAGAU
RNAcentral lists this long non-coding RNA (536 nucleotides) under Setaria viridis. RNAcentral describes it as "long non-coding RNA (SVIR_LNC002951)". The record is from RNAcentral. Lineage: Eukaryota; Viridiplantae; Streptophyta; Magnoliopsida; Poales; Poaceae.